CCCAGGUGCCCAAGUAGAUGGUUCACUGUGGCCCCAAAGCCUUUGUAUAAGUCCUUAAAAGAUGAAGUUGUUGUUGCUGCAUGUACCCUGGAAUCCAGUAGGGUGCACUAGUGUCUCUCCCAGAGAAUACAGGUGUAAUAUGUGCUUAUGGACCCACCACACUGCAGCAUGGAUUGAACAAAGGAAUUUUGCAACACACCAACUUGGCAUCCAUGUAAUAUUUUUGUAACAUUUAGGAGGCAUCCAGGGG
This 250-nucleotide long non-coding RNA is filed under the name Fukomys damarensis (Damara mole-rat). Its description in RNAcentral is "lncRNA (ENSFDAG00000022582.1)". The record is from RNAcentral. Lineage: Eukaryota; Metazoa; Chordata; Mammalia; Rodentia; Bathyergidae.